RNAcentral lists this long non-coding RNA (223 nucleotides) under Homo sapiens (human). RNAcentral describes it as "non-protein coding lnc-POLA1-2:1". Lineage: Eukaryota; Metazoa; Chordata; Mammalia; Primates; Hominidae. The record is from RNAcentral.
AAGCUUUCUAUAAGCAGACUAGAGGUUUUGUGCAGAGAUAAAAUGAACGUGUUAGUGGAUUCAAGUAAUACACUAAUUAUUGCACAGUAUAAAUACCACUACUGGUUUUAUAACAGGGAGGUAAACUUCUUUUGAGAGGGUUAUAGGAUUGCUUGGCAGUGGUGUAGAACCUAAUAAGGGCCCAGAGUAAUAACCCCCUGGAUUAACAAAAUUGCUGCUUGUA